Molecule: ribosomal RNA, 427 nt
Filed under: uncultured bacterium
Lineage: Bacteria
Description: partial 16S ribosomal RNA
Rfam family: Bacterial small subunit ribosomal RNA
Source: RNAcentral
UGGGGAAUAUUGCACAAUGGGCGCAAGCCUGAUGCAGCCAUGCCGCGUGUAUGAAGAAGGCCUUCGGGUUGUAAAGUACUUUCAGCGGGGAGGAAGGCGAUGCGGUUAAUAACCGCGUCGAUUGACGUUACCCGCAGAAGAAGCACCGGCUAACUCCGUGCCAGCAGCCGCGGUAAUACGGAGGGUGCAAGCGUUAAUCGGAAUUACUGGGCGUAAAGCGCACGCAGGCGGUAUGUCAAGUCGGAUGUGAAAUCCCCGGGCUCAACCUGGGAACUGCAUCCGAAACUGGCAGGCUUGAGUCUCGUAGAGGGGGGUAGAAUUCCAGGUGUAGCGGUGAAAUGCGUAGAGAUCUGGAGGAAUACCGGUGGCGAAGGCGGCCUCCUGGACGAAGACUGACGCUCAGGUGCGAAAGCGUGGGGAGCAAACA